RNAcentral lists this transfer RNA (65 nucleotides) under Parapolybia indica. RNAcentral describes it as "tRNA-Leu". RNAcentral also lists the same sequence under 4 other names. Lineage: Eukaryota; Metazoa; Arthropoda; Insecta; Hymenoptera; Vespidae. The record is from RNAcentral.
AUUAUUUUGGCAGAAAAGUGCUUUAAAUUUAGAAUUUAAAUAUAUAAAUAAUUUUAUAAAUAAUA